UACAGAGGUCCCAAGCGUUGUUCGGAUUCACUGGGCGUAAAGGGUGCGUAGGUGGUUAGGUAAGUUCGAUGUGAAAUCUCCGGGCUCAACUCGGAAAUUGCAUUGGAUACUAUCUAACUUGAGGGUCGGAGGGGAGACUGGAAUUCUCGGUGUAGCAGUGAAAUGCGUAGAUAUCGAGAGGAACACCGGUGGCGAAGGCGAGUCUCUGGACGACUCCUGACACUGAUGCACGAAAGCUAGGGGAGCAAACAGG
This 253-nucleotide unclassified non-coding RNA is filed under the name uncultured Verrucomicrobiota bacterium. RNAcentral's name for it is "uncultured Verrucomicrobia bacterium contains 16S-23S intergenic spacer region". It matches the Rfam family "Bacterial small subunit ribosomal RNA", at positions 524 to 776 of the family's 1533-position model. Lineage: Bacteria; Pseudomonadati; Verrucomicrobiota. The record is from RNAcentral.